RNAcentral lists this ribosomal RNA (274 nucleotides) under uncultured bacterium. Its description in RNAcentral is "partial 16S ribosomal RNA". It matches the Rfam family "Bacterial small subunit ribosomal RNA", at positions 523 to 796 of the family's 1533-position model. The record is from RNAcentral.
AUACGGGGGGUGCAAGCGUUAAUCGGAAUUACUGGGCGUAAAGCGCGCGUAGGCGGUUUGCUCAGUCGGAUGUGAAAGCCCAGGGCUCAACCUUGGAACUGCAUACGAUACUGGCAAACUAGAGUGUGAGAGAGGAUAGUGGAAUUUCCGGUGUAGCGGUGAAAUGCGUAGAUAUCGGAAGGAACAUCAGUGGCGAAGGCGACUGUCUGGCUCAACACUGACGCUGAGGUGCGAAAGCGUGGGUAGCAAACAGGAUUAGAAACCCUGGUAGUCC